Heterocephalus glaber (naked mole-rat) is the source of this 485-nucleotide long non-coding RNA. NCBI's taxonomy places the organism in Eukaryota, Metazoa, Chordata, Mammalia, Rodentia, Bathyergidae. The record is from Ensembl.
GCUAGGCCCCGCCCCCGUGCGCGCCUCCGACGCCGCGCGCCCGCGCCUUCCCAGUGACCCUUCACCCAGGUCAGCGUACAGUUUGACGGCCUCCUGGAGUAGAUUGAAUUCGGACCCACCCUUGGGGGUCCGAUAAAAAGAGAUUUUGCUGUUCCAAGUGUGGUCCUCGGCUCAGGAGCAUUGAUAACCACCCAGAGCUUGUGAGAAAUACAGAACGGCAGCCCCAUCUGCUGAACUACAGACUCGAGGAAUUGCAGUAAGCAUUUCAACAAAAUCCCCAGAGAGAAAGUGCUUGGUCAGCCAAGGAAAAUACUGCAAAUGUUAGCAAGAGACUCUCGUGUGACAGCUUAGUAAACCACUUGUAUUCUGACCCUUUUCUCUGAAGAGUUCAAGUUCAAGUCCCUUCAGGUGGGAUUAAAUCAGGAAGAAAAUAAACAAAAUUUAUGUUAAUACAUAAAUCAAAUUCUUCCCCAUGCAAAUAAAAC